AGGCUUAGAUACCCUGGUAGUCCACCCCGUAAACGUUGGGAACUAGUUGUGGGGACCAUUCCACGGUUUCCGUGACGCAGCUAACGCAUUAAGUUCCCCGCCUGGGGAGUACGGCCGCAAGGCUAAAACUCAAAGGAAUUGACGGGGACCCGCACAAGCGGCGGAGCAUGCGGAUUAAUUCGAUGCAACGCGAAGAACCUUACCAAGGCUUGACAUAUACGAGAACGGGCCAGAAAUGGUCAACUCUUUGGACACUCGUAAACAGGUGGUGCAUGGUUGUCGUCAGCUCGUGUCGUGAGAUGUUGGGUUAAGUCCCGCAACGAGCGCAACCCUCGUUCUAUGUUGCCAGCACGUAAUGGUGGGAACUCAUGGGAUACUGCCGGGGUCAACUCGGAGGAAGGUGGGGAUGACGUCAAAUCAUCAUGCCCCUUAUGUCUUGGGCUUCACGCAUGCUACAAUGGCCGGUACAAAGGGCUGCAAUACCGUGAGGUGGAGCGAAUCCCAAAAAGCCGGUCCCAGUUCGGAUUGAGGUCUGCAACUCGACCUCAUGAAGUCGGAGUCGCUAGUAAUCGCAGAUCAGCAACGCUGCGGUGAAUACGUUCCCGGGUCUUGUACACACCGCCCGUCAAGUCAUGAAAGU
Molecule: ribosomal RNA, 640 nt
Filed under: Microbacterium sp.
Lineage: Bacteria; Bacillati; Actinomycetota; Actinomycetes; Micrococcales; Microbacteriaceae
Description: bacterial SSU rRNA
Rfam family: Bacterial small subunit ribosomal RNA
Source: RNAcentral